ACGGUGAAGCAGGGCUUGCUCUGUGGAUCAGUGGCGAACGGGUGAGUAACACGUGAGCAACCUGCCCCGGACUCUGGGAUAACAGUUGGAAACAGCUGCUAAUACCGGAUACGAGCUGCGAAGGCAUCUUCAGCAGUUGGAAAGAAUUUCGGUCUGGGAUGGGCUCGCGGCCUAUCAGCUUGUUGGUGAGGUAAUGGCUCACCAAGGCGUCGACGGGUAGCCGGCCUGAGAGGGUGACCGGCCACACUGGGACUGAGACACGGCCCAGACUCCUACGGGAGGCAGCAGUGGGGAAUAUUGCACAAUGGGCGAAAGCCUGAUGCAGCAACGCCGCGUGAGGGAUGACGGCCUUCGGGUUGUAAACCUCUUUUAGCAGGGAAGAAGCGAAAGUGACGGUACCUGCAGAAAAAGCGCCGGCUAACUACGUGCCAGCAGCCGCGGUAAUACGUAGGGCGCAAGCGUUAUCCGGAAUUAUUGGGCGUAAAGAGCUCGUAGGCGGUUUGUCGCGUCUGCUGUGAAAUCCCGAGGCUCAACCUCGGGCCUGCAGUGGGUACGGGCAGACUAGAGUGCGGUAGGGGAGAUUGGAAUUCCUGGUGUAGCGGUGGAAUGCGCAGAUAUCAGGAGGAACACCGAUGGCGAAGGCAGAUCUCUGGGCCGUAACUGACGCUGAGGAGCGAAAGGGUGGGGAGCAAACAGGCUUAGAUACCCUGGUAGUCCACCCCGUAAACGUUGGGAACUAGUUGUGGGGUCCAUUCCACGGAUUCCGUGACGCAGCUAACGCAUUAAGUUCCCCGCCUGGGGAGUACGGCCGCAAGGCUAAAACUCAAAGGAAUUGACGGGGACCCGCACAAGCGGCGGAGCAUGCGGAUUAAUUCGAUGCAACGCGAAGAACCUUACCAAGGCUUGACAUAUAGAGGAAACGGCUGGAAACAGUCGCCCCGCAAGGUCUCUAUACAGGUGGUGCAUGGUUGUCGUCAGCUCGUGUCGUGAGAUGUUGGGUUAAGUCCCGCAACGAGCGCAACCCUCGUUCUAUGUUGCCAGCACGUAAUGGUGGGAACUCAUGGGAUACUGCCGGGGUCAACUCGGAGGAAGGUGGGGAUGACGUCAAAUCAUCAUGCCCCUUAUGUCUUGGGCUUCACGCAUGCUACAAUGGCCGGUACAAAGGGCUGCAAUACCGUGAGGUGGAGCGAAUCCCAAAAAGCCGGUCCCAGUUCGGAUUGAGGUCUGCAACUCGACCUCAUGAAGUCGGAGUCGCUAGUAAUCGCAGAUCAGCAACGCUGCGGUGAAUACGUUCCCGGGUCUUGUACACACCGCCCGUCAAGUCAUGAAAGUCGGUAACACCUGAAGCCGGUGGCCCAACCCUU
Molecule: ribosomal RNA, 1364 nt
Filed under: uncultured Microbacterium sp.
Lineage: Bacteria; Bacillati; Actinomycetota; Actinomycetes; Micrococcales; Microbacteriaceae
Description: 16S ribosomal RNA
Rfam family: Bacterial small subunit ribosomal RNA
Source: RNAcentral